RNAcentral lists this ribosomal RNA (74 nucleotides) under uncultured bacterium. Its description in RNAcentral is "partial 16S ribosomal RNA". It matches the Rfam family "Bacterial small subunit ribosomal RNA", at positions 281 to 354 of the family's 1533-position model. The record is from RNAcentral.
CAGUAGCCGACCUGAGAGGGUGACCGGCCACAUUGGGACUGAGACACGGCCCAAACUCCUACGGGAGGCAGCAG